RNAcentral lists this ribosomal RNA (942 nucleotides) under Pseudarthrobacter sp. Its description in RNAcentral is "bacterial SSU rRNA". It matches the Rfam family "Bacterial small subunit ribosomal RNA", at positions 299 to 1254 of the family's 1533-position model. Lineage: Bacteria; Bacillati; Actinomycetota; Actinomycetes; Micrococcales; Micrococcaceae. The record is from RNAcentral.
UGUGACCGGUCCUUAUGGGACUGAGACACGGCCCAGACUCCUACGGGAGGCAGCAGUGGGGAAUAUUGCACAAUGGGCGCAAGCCUGAUGCAGCGACGCCGCGUGAGGGAUGACGGCCUUCGGGUUGUAAACCUCUUUCAGUAGGGAAGAAGCGAAAGUGACGGUACCUGCAGAAGAAGCGCCGGCUAACUACGUGCCAGCAGCCGCGGUAAUACGUAGGGCGCAAGCGUUAUCCGGAAUUAUUGGGCGUAAAGAGCUCGUAGGCGGUUUGUCGCGUCUGCCGUGAAAGUCCGGGGCUCAACUCCGGAUCUGCGGUGGGUACGGGCAGACUAGAGUGAUGUAGGGGAGACUGGAAUUCCUGGUGUAGCGGUGAAAUGCGCAGAUAUCAGGAGGAACACCGAUGGCGAAGGCAGGUCUCUGGGCAUUAACUGACGCUGAGGAGCGAAAGCAUGGGGAGCGAACAGGAUUAGAUACCCUGGUAGUCCAUGCCGUAAACGUUGGGCACUAGGUGUGGGGGACAUUCCACGUUUUCCGCGCCGUAGCUAACGCAUUAAGUGCCCCGCCUGGGGAGUACGGCCGCAAGGCUAAAACUCAAAGGAAUUGACGGGGGCCCGCACAAGCGGCGGAGCAUGCGGAUUAAUUCGAUGCAACGCGAAGAACCUUACCAAGGCUUGACAUGAACCGGAAAGACCUGGAAACAGGUGCCCCGCUUGCGGUCGGUUUACAGGUGGUGCAUGGUUGUCGUCAGCUCGUGUCGUGAGAUGUUGGGUUAAGUCCCGCAACGAGCGCAACCCUCGUUCUAUGUUGCCAGCACGUGAUGGUGGGGACUCAUAGGAGACUGCCGGGGUCAACUCGGAGGAAGGUGGGGACGACGUCAAAUCAUCAUGCCCCUUAUGUCUUGGGCUUCCGCAUGCUACAUGGCCGGUACAAAGGGUUGCGAAA